GUAGGGAAUAUUGGGCAAUGGUCGGAAGACUGACCCAGCCAUGCCGCGUGCAGGAAGUCGGCCCUCUGGGUUGUAAACUGCUUUUAUCUGGGAAGAAAAAGGCCAUGCGUGGCAAAUUGCCGGUACCAGAUGAAUAAGCACCGGCUAACUCCGAGCCAGCAGCCGCGGUAAUACGGAGGGUGCGAGCGUUGUCCGGAUUUAUUGGGUUUAUAGGGUGCGUAGGCGGCUGAUUAAGUCAGCGGUGAAAGACUUCGGCUUAACCGGAGCAGUGCCGUUGAUACUGGUUGGCUUGAGUGUCGGAGGGGUACAUGGAAUUGAUGGUGUAGCGGUGAAAUGCAUAGAUACCAUCAGGAACACCGAUAGCGAAGGCAUUGUACUGGCCGACAACUGACGCUGAUGCACGAAAGUGUGGGGAUCGAACAGGAUUAGAUACCCCUGUAGUCC
RNAcentral lists this ribosomal RNA (444 nucleotides) under uncultured bacterium. Its description in RNAcentral is "partial 16S ribosomal RNA". It matches the Rfam family "Bacterial small subunit ribosomal RNA", at positions 354 to 796 of the family's 1533-position model. The record is from RNAcentral.